Molecule: small RNA, 132 nt
Filed under: Escherichia coli
Lineage: Bacteria; Pseudomonadati; Pseudomonadota; Gammaproteobacteria; Enterobacterales; Enterobacteriaceae
Description: RtT sRNA
Rfam family: RtT RNA
About the family: This family represents a bacterial cis-regulatory element known as RtT RNA. The exact function of RtT is unknown although it is thought that it may be involved in changing the cellular response in relation to amino acid starvation.
Source: RNAcentral
AUUCUGCCCAUGCGGGGAAGGAUGAGAAGCUUCGACCAAGGUUCGACUCGAGCGCCAGCGAGAGAGCGUUGCCGCAGGCAACGACCCGAAGGGUGAAGCGCGCAGCGCUGAGUAAUCCUUCCCCCACCACCA